Molecule: transfer RNA, 69 nt
Filed under: Ictidomys tridecemlineatus (thirteen-lined ground squirrel)
Lineage: Eukaryota; Metazoa; Chordata; Mammalia; Rodentia; Sciuridae
Also listed under: 1 other name
Description: Spermophilus tridecemlineatus (thirteen-lined ground squirrel) tRNA
Rfam family: tRNA
About the family: Transfer RNA (tRNA) molecules are approximately 80 nucleotides in length. Their secondary structure includes four short double-helical elements and three loops (D, anti-codon, and T loops). Further hydrogen bonds mediate the characteristic L-shaped molecular structure. tRNAs have two regions of fundamental functional importance: the anti-codon, which is responsible for specific mRNA codon recognition, and the 3' end, to which the tRNAs corresponding amino acid is attached (by aminoacyl-tRNA synthetases). tRNAs cope with the degeneracy of the genetic code in two manners: having more than one tRNA (with a specific anti-codon) for a particular amino acid; and 'wobble' base-pairing, i.e. permitting non-standard base-pairing at the 3rd anti-codon position.
Source: Rfam by way of RNAcentral
GGAGUUGUAGCUCAGCGGUAGAGUGCUCGCCUAGCACAUGUGAGGCCCUGGGUUCAAUCCUCAGCACCA